RNAcentral lists this ribosomal RNA (208 nucleotides) under Clostridioides difficile. Its description in RNAcentral is "partial 23S ribosomal RNA". It matches the Rfam family "Bacterial large subunit ribosomal RNA", at positions 562 to 769 of the family's 2925-position model. Lineage: Bacteria; Bacillati; Bacillota; Clostridia; Peptostreptococcales; Peptostreptococcaceae. The record is from RNAcentral.
ACUUACAAGCUGUGGAAGCACAUUUCUUGUGUGACCGCGUACUUUUUGUAGAACGGGCCAACGAGUUACGUUAAGUAGCACGGUUAAGCACUUAAGGUGUGGAGCCGUAGCGAAAGCGAGUUUUAACUGAGCGUUCAGUUACUUGACGUAGACCCGAAACCGGGCGACCUACCCAUGAGCAGGCUGAAGCGAAAGUAAAAUUUCGUGG